RNAcentral lists this ribosomal RNA (722 nucleotides) under uncultured Victivallis sp. Its description in RNAcentral is "bacterial SSU rRNA". It matches the Rfam family "Bacterial small subunit ribosomal RNA", at positions 28 to 774 of the family's 1533-position model. The record is from RNAcentral. Lineage: Bacteria; Pseudomonadati; Lentisphaerota; Lentisphaeria; Victivallales; Victivallaceae.
AACGAACGCUGGCGGCAUGGAUUAGGCAUGCAAGUCGAACGCUCACAGCAAUGUGGGAGUGGCGGAAGGGUGAGGAACACGUGAGUAAUCUACCUCCAAGUUGGGAAUAACAGUUGGAAACGACUGCUAAUACCGAAUGUGGCUGUUGAACCGCAUGGUUUAACGGCUAAAGAUUUAUCGCUUGGAGAUGAGCUCGCGUCCCAUUAGCUAGUUGGUGAGGUAACGGCUCACCAAGGCAACGAUGGGUAGCUGGUCUGAGAGGAUGGUCAGCCACACUGGGACUGAGACACUGCCCAGACUCCUACGGGAGGCUGCAGUCGAGAAUCUUGGGCAAUGCGCGAAAGCGUGACCCAGCAAUGCCGCGUGCGGGAUGAAGGUCUUCGGAUUGUAAACCGCUGUCACUCGGGACGAAAAAAAUGACGGUACCGAGGGAGGAAGCCACGGCUAACUACGUGCCAGCAGCCGCGGUAAUACGUAGGUGCCGAGCGUUGUUCGGAUUUAUUGGGCGUAAAGGGUCCGCAGGAGGUUUGUUAAAAUUGGGGUGAAAUCCCGGAGCUCAACUCCGGAACUGCCUUGAUGACUGACGAACUAGAGUGCUGGAGAGGUAAGCGGAAUACCAGGUGUAGCGGUGGAAUGCGUAGAUAUCUGGUAGAACACCGAAAGCGAAGGCAGCUUACUGGACAGCAACUGACUCUCAGGGACGAAAGCGUGGGGAGCAAACA